AUGGCGAUGGCAAGGAUGCCCAUCCUCGUUGCCGUGGCUCUCGUGGCCGCAGUGGCCUCCUGCAGCGCGUGGGAGCCUAACAUCUGUAGGCCGAUGGCGGAGGUUGCGGCGACUGCUGUAGAUGACGCCGUGGUGCCACUCAUCCACGCGUUGCGGCCGCUGCUGGGCUCCGGCGGGCAGCUCGGGAGCCACGGCGGCUGGCCGUGCGACAGCUGGCGGCUGGGCGUGGAGGCGUAUAACGUGCGGGACUGGAAGACGGUCCCCGCCAACUGCGAGGGAUACGUGGGCCACUACAUGCUCAGCAGCCACUACCGCCGCGACUCCAAGGUCGUCAUCGACCAGGCCAUCACCUACCUUGACAGCAUCAGGCUCGCCGGCAAUGGCAACGAGGUGUGGGUCUUCGACAUCGACGAGGCCAUGCUCUCCAACCUACCUUACUACGCCAGGCACGGCUUCGGGGCUAGGCCAUACAACGCGACGAGCUACAACGCGUACGUGUUCUAG
RNAcentral lists this ribosomal RNA (504 nucleotides) under Triticum aestivum (bread wheat). RNAcentral describes it as "partial small subunit ribosomal RNA". The record is from RNAcentral. Lineage: Eukaryota; Viridiplantae; Streptophyta; Magnoliopsida; Poales; Poaceae.